RNAcentral lists this small RNA (70 nucleotides) under Rhizobium sp. BK251. RNAcentral's name for it is "Makes More Granules Regulator RNA (mmgR)". It matches the Rfam family "Makes More Granules Regulator RNA (mmgR)". Rfam says of the family: SuhB later renamed mmgR (makes more granules regulator) was a putative non-coding RNA found multiple times in the Agrobacterium tumefaciens genome and related alpha-proteobacteria. The record is from Rfam by way of RNAcentral. Lineage: Bacteria; Pseudomonadati; Pseudomonadota; Alphaproteobacteria; Hyphomicrobiales; Rhizobiaceae.
UGUAAAUACCCUCCUUGGGUGUUUCCUCCCUAGACUUAACCGCUCUUCGGAGCGGUUUUUUUUGCCGAUC